Molecule: ribosomal RNA, 449 nt
Filed under: uncultured bacterium
Lineage: Bacteria
Description: partial 16S ribosomal RNA
Rfam family: Bacterial small subunit ribosomal RNA
Source: RNAcentral
AGCGAACAUUGGCGGUAGGCUUAACACAUGCAAGUCGAGCGAGGCGUAAUAGUCGAGCGGCGAACGGGUGCGUAAUACAUGGGAAUCUACCUCGAAGUGGGGGAUAACGUCCAGAAAUGGACGCUAAUACCGCAUAAUCCAUAUUGGGAAAGCGUUGCAGCGCUUUGAGAUGAGCCCAUGGCUGAUUAGCUAGUUGGUGAGGUAAUGCUCACCAAGGCGACGAUCAGUAGCUGGCCUGAGAGGAUGACCAGCCACACUGGAACUGAGACACGGUCCAGACUCCCACGGGAGGCAGCAGUGGGGAAUCUUGCGCAAUGGGGGCAACCCUGACGCAGCCAUACCGCGUGAGUGAUGAAGGUCUUCGGAUUGUAAAGCUCUUUCGGCGGGGACGACGAUGACGGUACCCGCAAAAGAAGUCACGGCUAACUUCGUGCCAGCCGCCGCCGUAA